UUCACUUUUCACUUCGGACUCAAUCUCAGAGUUUAGAUUGAAUGCUCCUGUCCGUGGUCAUGGGACUCAGUCUCAGUUCUCUACUUGCCUCUCUCAAACUCUCACAGUCUCAAUCCUCAAACCAAUGCUCCAAAUCCAAACCCUAGCCGCCUCCAAUGCCAUAGCCCACUCCCCUCUUCGCCUCCAAUGUCUAGCUGCUGCCGCCGCUGUCCACUCCUCUCUCCGUAGCUACCGCCGGUGCAGACACGGAGGAGAGGAGAAAUAGUCCGUCCACUGCUGCCUCUUCACCGCCGCUCGAUCACUACCGCCUCUUUUCUGCUGCCUCUUGAAGAUUAGCCAACUUAGAUCGGUUUUAGAUUUCUUGUUCUAAUUAAAUAUGUCUUUUUCCAUGUUCUUGAUCUGUUGUUGUUGUUCUAAUUAAUUUUUUUUUAAAAAAUUUUAGAUUGUGUUACCAUUACACUUGGGAGAGAGAAAUGAGCUCGGUUGAGAAGGGAAAGAGUGAAGAAAAAGGAAAGGAGCUGAUUUUUGGGGUCUGCUCUCCCAAAAAUGACUUCGUACUUAAUUUGUUUGUACUGGAGAUGCUCUUAUUAUUUUUUUCUCAAUAUCUAAUUUAUGGUUUAUAUUUUAUUUUUAAUGGGUUUUGUAUAUGGUUAUAGGAUUUUUGAAUAAACUUUCAGGAGUUUCCUAAA
Molecule: long non-coding RNA, 689 nt
Organism: Quercus lobata
Lineage: Eukaryota; Viridiplantae; Streptophyta; Magnoliopsida; Fagales; Fagaceae
Exons: 2
Source: RefSeq, a predicted model, not a curated record